This 293-nucleotide ribosomal RNA is filed under the name uncultured bacterium. RNAcentral describes it as "partial 16S ribosomal RNA". It matches the Rfam family "Bacterial small subunit ribosomal RNA", at positions 505 to 796 of the family's 1533-position model. The record is from RNAcentral.
GUGCCAGCAGCCGCGGUAAUACGAAGGUUGCAAGCGUUGUUCGGAAUCACUGGGCUUAAAGCGCAUGUAGGCGGCUCAUCAAGUGCUUUGUGAAAUCCCACGGCUCAACCGUGGAAUUGCUUGGCAUACUGUUAGAGCUUGAGGCAGGUAGGGGCGCGUGGAACUCUUGGUGGAGCGGUGGAAUGCGUAGAUAUCAAGAGGAACGCCGGUGGCGAAAGCGGCGCGCUGGGCCUGUCCUGACGCUGAGAUGCGAAAGCCAGGGGAGCAAACGGGAUUAGAUACCCUCGUAGUCC